CUGUGCUAGAUGGGGAGUUAGCGGUUUCCUGUAGCCUGAAAUCCGCUUAUGCAGGGUUGAAUCCCAAGAGGCGGGUCUUUAUGAGCUAAAUAUUAGUUAUAAGCGGUGUUGAUUUUUCAGCCCUGCGCAAUAUUUGGAUUUCAAACCCCGUCAGGUCUGGAAGGAAGCAGCGGUAGAGAUUUUUAAUAUGUGCCGUAGGUUACUGGAAAUGAGUUGGCUGUAAUUGAUCUUUUUCAAACCGAAGAUUCAACUUUUGGUGCACAG
Molecule: signal recognition particle RNA, 264 nt
Filed under: Fidelibacterota bacterium
Lineage: Bacteria; Pseudomonadati; Fidelibacterota
Description: signal recognition particle sRNA large type
Rfam family: Bacterial large signal recognition particle RNA
About the family: The signal recognition particle (SRP) is a universally conserved ribonucleoprotein involved in the co-translational targeting of proteins to membranes. Archaeal SRP consists of a 7S RNA and homologues of the eukaryotic SRP19 and SRP54 proteins.
Source: RNAcentral